This 429-nucleotide ribosomal RNA is filed under the name uncultured Holophagaceae bacterium. RNAcentral describes it as "bacterial SSU rRNA". It matches the Rfam family "Bacterial small subunit ribosomal RNA", at positions 355 to 776 of the family's 1533-position model. The record is from RNAcentral. Lineage: Bacteria; Pseudomonadati; Acidobacteriota; Holophagae; Holophagales; Holophagaceae.
UGGGGAAUUUUGCGCAAUGGGCGAAAGCCUGACGCAGCAACGCCGCGUGGGUGAUGAAGGUCUUCGGAUCGUAAAACCCUGUCGUCAGGGACGAAGGUAGGGGUGUUAACAGCAUCCUUGCUUGACGGUACCUGGAGAGGAAGCCCCGGCUAACUCUGUGCCAGCAGCCGCGGUAAUACAGAGGGGGCAAGCGUUAUUCGGAAUUAUUGGGCGUAAAGGGCGCGUAGGCGGUUUUUUAAGUCAGAUGUGUAAUCCCCGAGCUCAACUUGGGAACUGCAUCUGAGACUGGAAGGCUAGAGUACUGGAGAGGGUGGUAGAAUUCCACGUGUAGCGGUGAAAUGCGUAGAGAUGUGGAGGAAUACCAGUGGCGAAGGCGGCCACCUGGACAGUAACUGACGCUGAGGCGCGAAAGUGUGGGUAGCAAACAGG